Molecule: non-coding RNA, 72 nt
Organism: Glossina palpalis gambiensis
Lineage: Eukaryota; Metazoa; Arthropoda; Insecta; Diptera; Glossinidae
Source: Rfam
UGGGGUGUAGCUCAGUGAUAGAGCGUUCGCUUUGCAUGUGAAAGGCUCCAGGUUUAAUACUCGGCAUCUUUA